GCAUGUGAAGUCAAUCUGACUUCAACAGCUGUCACCCCACUCAUCACCAGGGUUGAUUGGGCUGCUCUGACUGGCUAGGUGGCUGUCCCCUUCCCCCCUCACUGCUCCAUGUACAUCUAGCCGGAGGCUGCCCACUCAGUGGUAGAGGCCGAGCUUCCCCAAUAGAGGAGGAUGGGUCGUUCUUCGAUCAAGGGAGUAGUUGUGCUCGCUUCCCUGCUAGACCUUCCAAACAAGCUCUCAAGAAAGCUUGCUGCAGUGCAGAGGACUCCGGUUUAGUUAGCAGCACU
RNAcentral lists this small nuclear RNA (287 nucleotides) under Mus caroli (Ryukyu mouse). RNAcentral describes it as "sRNA (MGP_CAROLIEiJ_G0008880.1)". It matches the Rfam family "7SK RNA". Rfam says of the family: 7SK was discovered as an abundant small nuclear RNA in the mid-70s but a possible function has only recently been suggested. Two independent studies have found that 7SK RNA binds the CDK9/cyclin T complex (known as elongation factor P-TEFb). Lineage: Eukaryota; Metazoa; Chordata; Mammalia; Rodentia; Muridae. The record is from RNAcentral.